ACUCGUUAAGGCUGAGCUGUGAUGGGGAGAAGACAUUGUGUCUUCGAGUCGUUGAUUUCACACUGCCGAGAAAAGCCUCUAGAUAGAAAAUAGGUGCCCGUACCGCAAACCGACACAGGUAGUCAAGAUGAGAAUUCUAAGGUGAGCGAGCGAACUCUCGUUAAGGAACUCGGCAAAAUGACCCCGUAACUUCGGGAGAAGGGGUGCUCUUUAGGGUUAACGCCCAGAAGAGCCGCAGUGAAUAGGCCCAAGCGACUGUUUAUCAAAAACACAGGUCUCUGCUAAACCGUAAGGUGAUGUAUAGGGGCUGACGCCUGCCCGGUGCUGGAAGGUUAAGAGGAGUGGUUAGCUUCUGCGAAGCUACGAAUCGAAGCCCCAGUAAACGGCGGCCGUAACUAUAACGGUCCUAAGGUAGCGAAAUUCCUUGUCGGGUAAGUUCCGACCCGCACGAAAGGCGUAACGAUUUGGGCACUGUCUCAACGAGAGACUCGGUGAAAUCAUAGUACCUGUGAAGAUGCAGGUUACCCGCGACAGGACGGAAAGACCCCGUGGAGCUUUACUGUAGCCUGAUAUUGAAAUUCGGCACAGCUUGUACAGGAUAGGUA
RNAcentral lists this ribosomal RNA (605 nucleotides) under Staphylococcus aureus. RNAcentral describes it as "partial 23S ribosomal RNA". It matches the Rfam family "Bacterial large subunit ribosomal RNA", at positions 1545 to 2149 of the family's 2925-position model. Lineage: Bacteria; Bacillati; Bacillota; Bacilli; Caryophanales; Staphylococcaceae. The record is from RNAcentral.